Molecule: ribosomal RNA, 612 nt
Filed under: uncultured bacterium
Lineage: Bacteria
Description: bacterial SSU rRNA
Rfam family: Bacterial small subunit ribosomal RNA (bases 1-518)
Source: RNAcentral
CCUACGGGAGGCAGCAGUGGGGAAUAUUGGACAAUGGGCGAAAGCCUGAUCCAGCAAUGCCGCGUGAGUGAUGAAGGCCUUAGGGUUGUAAAGCUCUUUUACCAGGGAUGAUAAUGACAGUACCUGGAGAAUAAGCUCCGGCUAACUCCGUGCCAGCAGCCGCGGUAAUACGGAGGGAGCUAGCGUUGUUCGGAAUUACUGGGCGUAAAGCGUACGUAGGCGGUUAUUCAAGUCAGAGGUGAAAGCCUGGAGCUCAACUCCAGAACUGCCUUUGAAACUAGAUAGCUAGAAUCUUGGAGAGGUGAGUGGAAUUCCGAGUGUAGAGGUGAAAUUCGUAGAUAUUCGGAAGAACACCAGUGGCGAAGGCGACUCACUGGACAAGUAUUGACGCUGAGGUACGAAAGCGUGGGGAGCAAACAGGAUUAGAUACCCUGGUAGUCCACGCCGUAAACGAUGAUAACUAGCUGUUCGGGCUCUACGAGCUUGAGUGGCGCNGCUACGACAUUAAGUUAUCCGUCCGUCGGGAGGUACGGUCGCGAAGAAUUAAAACGUUAAAAGUAAAGUUAGACGGACGUGAGACGUCGCCGACGGACGACGACGAGGGAGGUUAGG